GAAAAAGGAAAUUUCUUUAUAUGUUGGAUUUAAAGAAUAUAGUACUGACAUAAUAAGGUCUCCUUACAAGUUUGAGUUCAAAUCAAAUGACCUGUUAUAUCUCAAAUAAAUGUAAUUCUAACUAAAUCAUAAAAGAUAUAAUAAUUUUAACAUGGAACUAUGUCAAAUUCACUCCUAAUCUGAAUGAAUUCCCUUAAAUUCUAGACUAAAUUCUGCAACAAGGCUUUAUGAAUCCAUCUUUUCCCAAGCCAAGUAUUCCUUGCAAAACAUUGAUCUACAUCCUUCAGAAGUUCUGCAAAGAAUCAUAUAAAAGGAGAAUUACAACUAUGUAAUAAAACUGAAAAAUACCAUAUGUGUUGCAUGUUUUACCAAACUUACUCAUUUCUUUUUCUUCGUCCCAAGUUUAUUAGUUUCGUUCUUCUUAAUUUUGUUUACCUAAGAAAAAAAUAUUAGAAAGGUGACUUUGAUAGUUUAUAGAAUUCAAUAUUGAGUGUAGAUUACAAGAUACAAUCAACAAGAAAAAGCCUAGAUAGCCCCAGAAUGUCGUACACUUCUACAAAAAUAGUAUAAGAACUUUAAAUUACAAGCAAAAGUUUAGAGGCAACAUUGAUAGCACCUUUAUACUAGAUUUCCUUCUGUGACAACAUUGUAAAAGUUCUUUUGAACUAUAAGCUUCACUAUUCACAAAUCACAAAGAUACCAUCCAGUAUAGACCCAUCAAUUCUCAAAAUGCUAACAAACAAGUGAACAUCAAUUAAAAAAGUAGCUACAAUUAAGCAUGCUUAAACCAACGAAUGACAGAACUUUCACCAAACCAAACCAAAGCUGAAGAGGAAAAAUUAUAAAGAAAUAAGCCAGGCCAAAAUUAUCUUACUUAUAACUCUCAUAUCUGAAAAAAUUAAUAACCAGAAAGAAUUGAGUUUCACAAAUUUAUAAGAUAAUCUCAAAUCUCCAAACAUUAGAACAGAUAAAAAUAAAUACAAUGAAUCUGAUGAUUUAAGACUGGAUUUAUUGCAUUUGUCUAAAUACUAAACCGAAGAGAAAUAAAGGAAUGGUGGAGGUGAGUAGGAAAGGUAGUUUUUCCCUAAAUGCAUUCUAAGCGAAGUAUAAAACUACUGUCCGAAAUAAGUUUGCACUACAGCUCAAACAGGUUGCAUCCACACUACGAAAUUUGCUACAUAUUAAAAUAUAUCAACAAAUAAAAUCCCACAUAUUCUGCUUAAAACUAAGAUCACAACACCUGGGCAAUUAAACUCACAGCUAGUAUAUAAUGCUCAAACCCACCUUAUUUGUGUGAACAAUAGAAAUUGGUAAUAAUGACUGCUGGCGAUCUUCAAUUGAUUUAUUGAAAACCUAUUACAAGAGAAGAUUAUUAUAAUUAAAAGAAAAAUUAGCAACAAUAACUUAAAGAGAAAAAGGUUUGUGAAUGAGUAUAAAAUUAUUUACCUGCUCAUUACUGAUCGAUUUACUAUUUUGAGUCAAUUGUAACACCCAUACUCUGCUUGUUGGCCCGUUUUGAGGUGGUUAGGCAUUGUUGUACCUCCCAUUUGUUGUUCUUGUUGCUCCGAAGAAUUGGAAAGAGACCACCUUGACUAGAAUCUCUUGUGUCUAUUUCUUGCCAUCCCAAUGAAAUUGUUCAAAAACUAUGAUUCCUGCCAAAUUGAAAAAUAAUUUCUACUGUCUAAGAGUAUGAAAUAAUAUCUAACUACCAAGUCAAAAUAAGACAUGUAAUCUUCAUCAAAUACUUCAAUACUUUCUAGAGUUUGUGGGUCAAUUUCUGUUCCAGACACUCCUUUCCUAACCCAUUCAAUAUCUUUUUACUUUCAAAUGUAGUAUCAUCUAGUCGUUGCUCAUGCCACACUUUCAUAUGGCCUUCCAUAUGCCCAGUUGCUUGUGUAUUUUCACCUAAAUUAGAAAAAUCUUUUGGCUUAAGUUUAUUAACAAUUGACACUCAUUUACCAUUGGAUGAUGGAUAUAAAACACAUGUUGAACCUGAGAAGCAAAGAUGAAAAAGGUUGAUUUGACAGUUGAUGCCUUGUGUAGAGUAGAUAACUAAAUUCACUAGAGUAAAUCCAUAAUCAUCUAACAAUUAAAAUGAGAUCAUAUUAAUCCAAUCCUUUUCAAAUAGCACCAUAUUUUUCUAUACAGGUAGUUCAAAUAGUAGAGACAUACUUUGCAAACAACCUUAAAGAGCCUGAAUAACUUGGAAAGGAGAAACCUAGUAAGUACUUCAGAACAAAAAAAUACUUUCUUUUAACUAUCACAUUACAGAAAAUAGAUUUACAUAGUAUUAGAUUAAAUAGAAGAUAGAAAAUAACAUGUGAAAGCCUCACCAAGAGUCUGAACGCUAUAUCAAUGUUCUUCCAAUAGCUUGCCUCCCUUUCCAUGCUUCUUCAAUCUCCAAGUAUAUGUGAUUAAAUUACCAAAGCGUAAUGCAAAAUUAGGUUGUCUGAAGAAUUCUAAUUAAUAAAAGAAACUGUAAUUUCAGAAUUAGUAGGAGGGAAGCUGAAAGUUCUUACCGCCAAAAUUUUUUCCUUCUAAAUCUCUGAUACUCUCCAAACAUAGCUUUUUUCGAGACCGCAAUCUGUAGUGGGAGANN
Molecule: long non-coding RNA, 2599 nt
Filed under: Nicotiana tabacum (common tobacco)
Lineage: Eukaryota; Viridiplantae; Streptophyta; Magnoliopsida; Solanales; Solanaceae
Description: long non-coding RNA (NTAB_LNC002962)
Source: RNAcentral